Molecule: ribosomal RNA, 372 nt
Filed under: Triticum aestivum (bread wheat)
Lineage: Eukaryota; Viridiplantae; Streptophyta; Magnoliopsida; Poales; Poaceae
Description: partial small subunit ribosomal RNA
Source: RNAcentral
AUGCAGAGAGUAAUCAGUUGUGCUCCGUUGUGUAAUUCUGUAGAUUUCUGCAGUGCAAACUCUCUUCUGAGGUGGAAUGUCGUGAUUGGUCUCUGUAUGUUUAGUACAGUAGUAAGUAUUUGGCUGGAGACGUCAUGGCUAACAACUGAACGUGACGCUGCUAUCGGUAACCUUGGAAAAGAAGUUGUUCCAACUACGUACCUGUUUUCUUGCGCAGGAGGCUGUUCUGCUGUACCCUGCCCUCAAAAAACAUACCGUAUGUGUGGUGAUGAGCCCAUUUCUUGCUCACCAAUCAGGAUUCGGACGACCAUUUCACGUCCACUGAACUCCUUCAUCCGGCGAGACGCACGCCACGUACGCACGUACGUUUGA